Melospiza melodia melodia is the source of this 378-nucleotide long non-coding RNA. RefSeq lists it as uncharacterized. The record is from RefSeq and is a predicted model, not a curated record. NCBI's taxonomy places the organism in Eukaryota, Metazoa, Chordata, Aves, Passeriformes, Passerellidae. The transcript has 3 exons.
GUGGAAUAAUUUGGAAUUGGAAAAGAAUUUGGAACCAGCCCUGUGGUUUCAGUCUCUGUUCACAUGUCCUGUGUUUCCAGGUGCCCUUGGAUGUGCUGAACUAGGAUUUUCCAGGCCUGUAUCCAGGAGGGUGAUGGCUGAAAACUGGCAGGGACAGAUUUGGAAAAUUGGUCUGAGGCAAAAGCUGUGUUUGUGCAAGAAAGUUUUGAUCCAGAGAUGACCAUGUGAAGAGGCUGAGUGUGUCAGAAAGAUAAAACUGAGACCUGUUUGCCAACAGAUGGAUCAGGAUCCAAAUGAAUCACCAAAAAUACUGCUUCUGGGGAAGGUGCUGAUACUGCCAAGAAAUGCUUCAGCCAUGAAAUGGCACUUGUCCUUGCC